Molecule: ribosomal RNA, 253 nt
Filed under: uncultured bacterium
Lineage: Bacteria
Description: partial 16S ribosomal RNA
Rfam family: Bacterial small subunit ribosomal RNA
Source: RNAcentral
UACGGAGGGUGCAAGCAUUAAUCGGAUUUAUUGGGCGUAAAGGGCGUCUAGGCGACUUGUUAAGUCACAUGUGAAAUUUCACAGCUCAACUGUGAAACUGCAUGUGAAACUGGUAAGAUAGAGUGUAGGUGGAGGAAAUGGAAUUCCACAUGUAGCGGUGGAAUGCGUAGAUAUGUGGAGGAACACCGGUGGCGAAAGCGGUUUUCUAACCUAAAACUGACGCUGAAGCGCGAAAGCGAGGGGAGCAAACAGG